Molecule: ribosomal RNA, 882 nt
Filed under: Triticum aestivum (bread wheat)
Lineage: Eukaryota; Viridiplantae; Streptophyta; Magnoliopsida; Poales; Poaceae
Description: partial small subunit ribosomal RNA
Source: RNAcentral
AUGGCAUUGCCCUUGCAUUUUCUUUCAGUGCUGCCACUGCCAGCAUGGGCUUUGGAAAUCAUCAACAGGAGGUGUAGGGGCUUCAUUUGGAAAGGGGAAAAUGAGAUCAGUGGGGGUCAUUGUCUUCUUCCUUCGGCGAGAGUGUGUAUGCCGAAGGAGUGUGGCGACCUGGGCAUCUUGAACUUGAAGUGGUUCCGCUCGGCUUUAUGUUGCCGAUGGCCCUGGCUGCGCUGGGACCCUGAGGAGCAACCAUGGCGGAUGUUGCCGGAUGAUCAGGAGGGUGAUGUCACAGCUAUCUUCAGUGCGGCCACGUCCGUCUGCUUGGGGGAUGGAGAGCGGGCCAAGUUCUGGACGGAUAAUUGGUUACCGGAGGGCAACCGUGGAUGGGUCUGAGACAUCUUAGGAGGAGUUUCAGUAGUAGCCAUUGCACAAUAUCUCACUAUUUGGGAUAUUACUCGGAAUAUCUCGUUGACGCCUGGUGUGCCGGAUCGUCUAUAAUGGAAGCUGACUGGGGAUCAUCUCUUCUCUGUUAAGAGUGCUUAGAGCAUGUUUUUUGUUGCCUCGGUGUGCUUCGGAUGCUACAGACUAAUUUGGAAAUCCAAAGCUCCUCCAAGAUGCAAGCUUUUCAUGUGGCUAGUGGUUCAUCGCCGGUGCCUGACUGCGGACAACUUGGAGCAGAGGGGUUGGCCCUCAAACGGCAACUGCCCUCUGUGCCUUGUGACGGCGGAGGACUGCACUCACCUGUUCGUGCACUGCAUGUUCACACAGCAGGUUUGGCUAUUGUUCAGAGAUUGGACAUGGGCGAAUUUUUAGGUGCCGGACGAUCAUUUCAUCAAUACGGAAGACUGGUGGCUGCUGAUAACCCGCAAGUAUACAGGAUAG